UACGUAGGUGGCAAGCGUUGUCCGGAUUUAUUGGGCGUAAAGGGCGCGCAGGCGGUUCGUUAAGUUCGAGGUGAAAUCUCCCGGCUCAACUGGGAGGGGUCUUCGGAUACUGGCGGACUUGAGGAGAGCAGAGGUGAGUGGAAUGCUGGGUGUAGUGGUGAAAUGCGUAGAUAUCCAGCGGAACACCAGUGGCGAAGGCGGCUCACUGGGCUCCACCUGACGCUGAGGCGCGAAAGCUAGGGGAGCGAACGGG
This 253-nucleotide ribosomal RNA is filed under the name uncultured bacterium. RNAcentral's name for it is "partial 16S ribosomal RNA". It matches the Rfam family "Bacterial small subunit ribosomal RNA", at positions 524 to 776 of the family's 1533-position model. The record is from RNAcentral.